This 332-nucleotide ribosomal RNA is filed under the name uncultured Actinomycetes bacterium. RNAcentral's name for it is "bacterial SSU rRNA". It matches the Rfam family "Bacterial small subunit ribosomal RNA", at positions 568 to 898 of the family's 1533-position model. The record is from RNAcentral. Lineage: Bacteria; Bacillati; Actinomycetota; Actinomycetes.
CAGGUAGGUGGUUCAGUAAGUCUGUUGUGGAAGCUCCCGGCUUAACCGGGAGAGGCCAACGGAAACUACUGAACUUGAGUGUAGGAGAGGGUAUUGGAAUUCCCGGUGUAGCGGUGAAAUGCGCAGAGAUCGGGAGGAACACCAAUGGCGAAAGCAGAUACCUGGACUAUUACUGACACUAAGCUGCGAAAGCUAGGGGAGCAAACAGGAUUAGAUACCCUGGUAGUCCUAGCUGUAAACGAUGCACAUUAGACGUGAGGGGUAUCGACCCCCUUCGUGUCGACGCAAACGCAUUAAAUGUGCCGCCUGGGGAGUACGGCCGCAAGGUUGAA